RNAcentral lists this unclassified non-coding RNA (172 nucleotides) under uncultured Inocybe. Its description in RNAcentral is "sequence contains ITS2". The record is from RNAcentral. Lineage: Eukaryota; Fungi; Basidiomycota; Agaricomycetes; Agaricales; Cortinariaceae.
GAAACCUCUCAACCACCCCUUCAAAAGGUGGCUUGGAAAUGGGGGACUGCUGCAGGCUUUUGAAGUCUGCUCCCCUGAAAUGCAUUAGUGGUGUAUGGGCUGACUGCCACAGGUGUGAUAACUAUCAGUGCCUUGGUGGAAACCUUGCUGCUUCCAACUCAUAUUAUGACCA